AUUGAACGCUGGCGGCAGGCUUAACACAUGCAAGUCGAGCGGGGGAAGGUAGCUUGCUACCGGACCUAGCGGCGGACGGGUGAGUAAUGCUUAGGAAUCCGCCUAUUAGUGGGGGACAACAUCUCGAAAGGGAUGCUAAUACCGCAUACGUCCUACGGGAGAAAGCAGGGGAUCUUCGGACCUUGCGCUAAUAGAUGAGCCUAAGUCGGAUUAGCUAGUUGGUGGGGUAAAGGCCUACCAAGGCGACGAUCUGUAGCGGGUCGGAGAGGACGAUCCGCCACACUUGGACUGAGACACGGCCCAGACUCCUACGGGAGGCAGCAGUGGGGAAUAUUGGACAAUGGGGGGAACCCUGAUCCAGCCAUGCCGCGUGUGUGAAGAAGGCCUUAUGGUUGUAAAGCACUUUAAGCGAGGAGGAGGCUACUUUAGUUAAUACCUAGAGAUAGUGGACGUUACUCGCAGAAUAAGCACCGGCUAACUCUGUGCCAGCAGCCGCAGUAA
This 501-nucleotide ribosomal RNA is filed under the name uncultured bacterium. RNAcentral's name for it is "partial 16S ribosomal RNA". It matches the Rfam family "Bacterial small subunit ribosomal RNA", at positions 30 to 523 of the family's 1533-position model. The record is from RNAcentral.